RNAcentral lists this ribosomal RNA (200 nucleotides) under Vibrio parahaemolyticus. RNAcentral describes it as "partial 23S ribosomal RNA". It matches the Rfam family "Bacterial large subunit ribosomal RNA", at positions 586 to 788 of the family's 2925-position model. Lineage: Bacteria; Pseudomonadati; Pseudomonadota; Gammaproteobacteria; Vibrionales; Vibrionaceae. The record is from RNAcentral.
UCGUGGUGUGACUGCGUACCUUUUGUAUAAUGGGUCAGCGACUUAUAUUCAGUGGCAAGGUUAACCAUCUAGGGGAGCCGUAGGGAAACCGAGUCUUAACUGGGCGUUCAGUCUCUGGAUAUAGACCCGAAACCAGGUGAUCUAGCCAUGGGCAGGUUGAAGGUUGAGUAACAUCAACUGGAGGACCGAACCGACUAAUG